RNAcentral lists this ribosomal RNA (253 nucleotides) under uncultured bacterium. Its description in RNAcentral is "partial 16S ribosomal RNA". It matches the Rfam family "Bacterial small subunit ribosomal RNA", at positions 524 to 776 of the family's 1533-position model. The record is from RNAcentral.
UACGGAGGGGGCGAGCGUUAUUCGGAAUUAUUGGGCGUAAAGGGCGCGUAGGCGGCUUGAUGUGUCAAAGGUGAAAUCCCUCGGCUCAACUGAGGAACUGCCUUUGAAACUGUCUGGCUUGAGGCCGGGAGAGGGUAGCGGAAUUCCCAGUGUAGAGGUGAAAUUCGUAGAUAUUGGGAAGAACACCAGUGGCGAAGGCGGCUAACUGGUCCAGUACUGACGCUGAGGUGCGAAAGCGUGGGGAGCAAACAGG